This 309-nucleotide ribosomal RNA is filed under the name Biomphalaria straminea. RNAcentral's name for it is "partial 16S ribosomal RNA". The record is from RNAcentral. Lineage: Eukaryota; Metazoa; Mollusca; Gastropoda; Planorbidae.
UUUAAAUGGCCGCAGUACCUUGACUGUGCUAAGGUAGCAUAAUCAAUUGGCUUCUAAUUAAAGUCUGGAAUGAAAGGAAAUAUGAAGUAAUUCUAUCUUAAAGGAUUUUUUUUGAAUUUAUUUAAAUGAUGAAAAUAUCAUUUUGUAGAAAAAAGACGAGAAGACCCUUAGAGUUUUGAUAUUUAUAUAUUUUUGUUGGGGCGACAGGUAAACACUAUAACUUUACGAUUAUUAUUAAUCGAUUUUUUAUAAGAAUAAUAAAACUACCUUAGGGAUAACAGCAUUAUAUAUUUUUAUGAUUGUGACCUC